Molecule: transfer RNA, 73 nt
Organism: Ovis aries (sheep)
Lineage: Eukaryota; Metazoa; Chordata; Mammalia; Artiodactyla; Bovidae
Rfam family: tRNA
About the family: Transfer RNA (tRNA) molecules are approximately 80 nucleotides in length. Their secondary structure includes four short double-helical elements and three loops (D, anti-codon, and T loops). Further hydrogen bonds mediate the characteristic L-shaped molecular structure. tRNAs have two regions of fundamental functional importance: the anti-codon, which is responsible for specific mRNA codon recognition, and the 3' end, to which the tRNAs corresponding amino acid is attached (by aminoacyl-tRNA synthetases). tRNAs cope with the degeneracy of the genetic code in two manners: having more than one tRNA (with a specific anti-codon) for a particular amino acid; and 'wobble' base-pairing, i.e. permitting non-standard base-pairing at the 3rd anti-codon position.
Source: Rfam
UCCCUGGUGGUCCAGUGGUUAGGACUCUGUGUUUCUACUGCAGCAGGCAUAGGUUUGAACCCUGGUUAAGGAA